Long non-coding RNA from Sinocyclocheilus anshuiensis, 90 nucleotides. RefSeq lists it as uncharacterized. NCBI's taxonomy places the organism in Eukaryota, Metazoa, Chordata, Actinopteri, Cypriniformes, Cyprinidae. The record is from RefSeq and is a predicted model, not a curated record. The transcript is spliced from 4 exons.
AUUUGGAGUUUCAGCAUGAGAGCGCCCUCUGGCCUUCGGAUGGAGAUUUACUACUGAUCACAGAACUGUGUUUCACUGAAAGAUACUCAU